GAAAAUCCAUGAGUAGUGAAAGGUCCGACUCCCAGGGUCCCCUCCCUAUAACCCUUGCAUCCCCUUGGGCUCCAGUAGUGCCGUGAUGGGCAGAAGGGUGGCUGGUGCUGGGCAACGCCCCAGGGCUGUGUUCCUUGGCGAGAACCCCCCCCAGCCAGCUGCUAAGGGGGUUCAUUGUUGGGGCUGCUGGUACCUGUGGUUAUGGUCUGUUUUUAAUAGUUUAUUUA
This 227-nucleotide small nucleolar RNA is filed under the name Neogale vison (American mink). Its description in RNAcentral is "Neovison vison (American mink) Small Cajal body specific RNA 6 (ENSNVIG00000004818.1)". The record is from RNAcentral. Lineage: Eukaryota; Metazoa; Chordata; Mammalia; Carnivora; Mustelidae.